This is a long non-coding RNA of Hippocampus zosterae (dwarf seahorse), 701 nucleotides long. RefSeq lists it as uncharacterized. The record is from RefSeq and is a predicted model, not a curated record. The transcript is spliced from 3 exons. NCBI's taxonomy places the organism in Eukaryota, Metazoa, Chordata, Actinopteri, Syngnathiformes, Syngnathidae.
GUAAACGCUGAUGAUCUUCUGCCUAUGCCGCGGCUAACCAAACCACUAACGUCAUUGUAUUUUUUCUUUUUUUUAAAAAUCCAAAUAGUGAGACAACGACAGCGUGUGAGCGGUCGUCAUGUUUUUCUAACCUAACGCCGCCUUCCUAAUAGCAAAUGUCCUCCAGGUCACAUUCGGUCAUGUUCGAUGACCGCGACGAGGCACACUUUCUACCCGUGGCGGAGGGCAUCGGGAUGCGGGUCACCUGUGUACGCUCUUCUCACCUCUGACCCAGGACAUCGUUGACAGACACCACAACGAAGGCCUCGUGCUGUCACAGGACCGCUCGGAGGCAACGAGAGCCGCGUCAGCAUGAUGCGGCGACAGCAGCUUACGCGCAAAGGGCCGCCUUGAAUGGAUGCUCUUAUUCAUCUAAGGCGCACGCCGGAAGGAUUUCGUGGAGACGUGGUAGGUGCAACUCGUGCCGUUGUCCCAGCUUGCGGCCACACGGACCGAAAGCUCGUUGGGAAUGGGUGACGGCCAUGUGUCGGGGGGGUCAGACCCUUGUUGACCGUGUCUUGAAGUAGCGCGUUCAUUAGAGAAGAACACAGAUGGAAUCCAGAUGCGCGUCAUGGCUGGCCAUGGAUAUUGUACGAUGUGCGUGGAUGUGAAUGAGCACCAAAAGCAGCAGUAAUAGUCAGCGAUGUUGUUUGGCAACCGUA